This 447-nucleotide ribosomal RNA is filed under the name uncultured bacterium. RNAcentral's name for it is "bacterial SSU rRNA". It matches the Rfam family "Bacterial small subunit ribosomal RNA", at positions 355 to 825 of the family's 1533-position model. The record is from RNAcentral.
UCGGGAAUUUUGGGCAAUGGGCGAAAGCCUGACCCAGCAACGCCGCGUGAAGGAUGAAGUAUUUCGGUAUGUAAACUUCGAAAGAAUAGGAAGAAUAAAUGACGGUACUAUUUAUAAGGUCCGGCUAACUACGUGCCAGCAGCCGCGGUAAUACGUAGGGACCAAGCGUUGUUCGGAUUUACUGGGCGUAAAGGGCGCGUAGGCGGCAUGACAAGUCACUUGUGAAAUCUCUGGGCUUAACCCAGAACGGCCAAGUGAUACUGUCGCGCUAGAGUGCAGAAGGGGCAAUCGGAAUUCUUGGUGUAGCGGUGAAAUGCGUAGAUAUCAAGAGGAACACCUGAGGUGAAGACGGGUUGCUGGGCUGACACUGACAUUAAGGGACGAAAGCGUGGGGAGCGAAUGGGAUUAGAUACCCGAGUAGUCCCUGAGCGGGCUGGCAAGGCGCAU